GAAAUGCGAUAAGUAGUGUGAAUUGCAGAAUUCAGUGAAUCAUCGAAUCUUUGAACGCACAUUGCGCCCCUUGGUAUUCCAUGGGGCAUGCCUGUUCGAGCGUCAUUUGUACCCUCAAGCUUUGCUUGGUGUUGGGUGUUUGUCCUCUCCCUCGCGUUUGGACUCGCCUCAAAGAAAUUGGCAGCCAGUGUAUUGGUAUUGAAGCGCAGCACAAUUUGCGAUUCUAGCUAGUACUUACUUGCGACCAUCAAGUCUUCUUUAACACUUUUGACCUCGGAUCAGGUAGGGAUACCCGCUGAACUUAA
Molecule: unclassified non-coding RNA, 305 nt
Filed under: uncultured Dothideomycetes
Lineage: Eukaryota; Fungi; Ascomycota; Dothideomycetes
Description: sequence contains ITS1
Rfam family: 5.8S ribosomal RNA (bases 1-105)
Source: RNAcentral